This 171-nucleotide ribosomal RNA is filed under the name uncultured phototrophic eukaryote. Its description in RNAcentral is "partial 16S ribosomal RNA". It matches the Rfam family "Bacterial small subunit ribosomal RNA", at positions 338 to 524 of the family's 1533-position model. The record is from RNAcentral.
CCUACGGGAGGCAGCAGUGGGGAAUUUUCCGCAAUGGGCGAAAGCCUGACGGAGCAAUACCGCGUGAGGGAAGACGGCCUAUUGGUUGUAAACCUCUUUUUUCAGGGAGGAAUUUUGACGUGUACCUGAAGAAUAAGCAUCGGCUAACUCCGUGCCAACAACCGCGGUAAU